Molecule: long non-coding RNA, 3556 nt
Organism: Bombus terrestris (buff-tailed bumblebee)
Lineage: Eukaryota; Metazoa; Arthropoda; Insecta; Hymenoptera; Apidae
Exons: 3
Source: RefSeq, a predicted model, not a curated record
AAAGAACUCUUAAUUCAUUGAAAUGCGAUAGAAGCGUAUGUAAGAUCGCCAAUAAUAAUGGCUAAUGAAACUUGUUCCCAUACUCGUUCUGAUUGCUUCAUGUAUACUUCGUGUAUAUAUCAAAUAUCGAAUAACUAUGUUGUUUAUUGUUGAGGUUAUUAGAUGUAUAAAGAUGUAAGGUACAAUUGUAGUAUCGUGGGGAAAAAAUCUGGUUAAAAACUAAGCAAAACAAGGUCGCCUGUCUUUCGGUUAUUAGUUUACAUAGAAAAAGCCGGUGUGACCAAAGUCACCUAGUUCUUGCGAAGCGUUAACAGGACGGAAUUAGACAAAGGGAAAAAUAGCGCUAAUGGAGGGGAGCGAUUCGAAUCCAAGGAGCGGUUAAUCGAAAAGUGAGAGUGGGUCGAGAGGGCAGAAUUAAUCGAGGAGUCGAAGAGUAGAGUUAUUAGAGUUAGUGUUGUCGCGUUGCGUUGUUGAGAGUAGAGUUGUUAGCGUUGCGGAGUUGCCCACAUCAAGAGAAUGAAAAGUUACGAUUAAAGACCUAAUUUUAAAUUACUUCAUUUUACUUCACUGUUAGAUUUUUAAUAAGCUAACAAAAUGCUAAUUUUAUAAAAAUUCAUUACCUCCAAGUUUUUUUCAAUUUGACUAUCAACUUUUGAAAUAAUCCAAUACAUACACAAGCUUAUGAAAGCAUUUCAAUAAAGCCGGUAUGUUGAGCACGUGACAAGAAUGGCGAUAGUGAUGUUUACACUGAUAAUUCGCAUGAUUGCAAACUAGCGGUACUUUCCUGUACGAGUGUUGAGUAUGAAAUAUGAAUAUUUUCAUGAUACUUGUGAAUACUUUCACGAUGAGACGAUAGGGAAACGAUAUUUCAAAAGAAGAACUACAAAAGGGCGAAAAACCGGUCACUGCAAGGAUAUGCAAGGACGAAAAGUCGAUCGGACAGAAAUGUAUCGAUAGAUGAGCGAUCAAUAAUCAAUAAUUUGCGAAAAUUAGCGUAGGCGCUGUAUAACGCUUACAUUUGUAAUACAUGCAUGUUAGACGAAGUUGUCAUUACCGGCAGGGUUGUGAAGGCAUCCUGCCUUCUUUUUUUUAUAAUUUACACGCGAUUUCGGGACAUGAAUAUAAAAGUUUUCUAUAAGUUUUUAGUUUUCGAUAAACAAGGCAACAAAUAAAAUGUUUUGAUACAGGAAAGCAGCCUUAUGUCGCGCGAACAUCGGAUCCAACAACCAAUUCCAACCGAAAUCCGCGUUCCCGCGGAUUCAUCUGCGACCCAAGGGAGAGAUUGAAUGCUGCAUUUGUCAAAAGAGUGCGCGACCCUAUCGCGUGGCAGGAACAAUAGUGAUUGAUCCUUCGUGUUAUUGUGUAAAACAAAACGAAAAAGGAACAACAAGAAGCACACAAUACUAUAAUGGGCACAAUUCAUCGUGGCACGAAGGAACACGCCUCAUUGCCCGGGUGCACGAAUCGUUAAUCCGCCGACUUCAAAAGAGUUAGCAAUUAAACAUAUAACGAACCUAAUCGUGACAGAACGUUGUUUACGUUUGUGCAUUGUUUAAUUACAAUAAUCUCCCAUGGGCUUAUACGAAUGACGAAUAAUGAAAGCAACAAAGAAUGAUUCACCUCACGUGAGAUUUGAUGGAGAAAAAUUAUCUAAUGACACGAUUUUUCCAUGGAUCUCAUUGUUAUUGGAAGUACAGAAGUACUGAUGAUAAUAAUAUUUUCAAAAACAUUAACGAUGUACAAUUGAUCCAGAAAUUUAAGUGCAGCUUAUAAUAAAACAAAUUUGAUUAUAACAAGGCUCUAUAGAAUUUCAUAACAAAAUUAAUGUAUUCUACAUCAAGGAGAGCAAUUAAGAGUUAUUUCAUAAUUCAAACAGAAUUCUCACAAAAUAUUAAUAUAAACUACAACUAAUGAUAAGACUGCGCAAAUACUGUUUUUCUUUCUUCUUAUCUGGUUAAACAGUUGAACUAAUAUCAUUAGUGAAAUUUUACAAGUUACAAAUCACAAAUUAUUAAUAUUAACAGAUCCUGUUACAUAACAGCAACGAAUUUUAUAACAAAGAAAAUGAAAUUUUACAAAUAAGUUUUAUCAAUUACAAACCAUUUGAUUAUCUUUUCUGAUGUAAUAUUGUGAAAUUAUAAGACUUAGAAUUUGUCAAUUUGCCAAUAGUAUCAAUUGGCAAAUUAUUGUGUAAAAAUGUUUGUGUAAAAUAAUAUGUUAUGAAAUAAAUAUAAUAUUAAAUGAAAAUUUGUAUUACUUGAUGAAGAUUUCUGUUAACAACAGUAUGUCAAUUACAACUAAGAAGUGAUCACGUACUACUUAUAUCAUGAACUUUUUUUGUAAUAUAGUAGAAUAAGAACUAUAUGAAUACCUACUUACAAUAAUAUUUUUCAGUCACUAAAUUAGUAACUUCUUGGAAAGGUACAGAGAAGUAUGUAUUAAAUAAUAUGUUGCAAUUACGUAUUAUACAUAUGUAUAACGAAAUAUAUCAAUAUUCUUUAUUGUACUGAAUAUGUAUUUGCGAAGACUAUAAAUAGUUUCUCUUAAGUUUCUUUAUCCAAACUGUAUGCUUACAUAUUGCUUGAUCUUUUCUUUGAGAUAAGAGAAAUUAGAGUCGUUACACUGUAUCAUGUUUCAAUUCGAUGACAGUUCUGGAUGUGUUUUUUAAACGGCUUAGCUUUUAGUUUGAGAUGUGUCAUGGUCGAAAGCACCGGAAACAUCGAAUAAAGCGUAACCCCGAGGAAAAUAAAACAUGAGAUAUGUUCUUUUGAUUUAAUUGCUACGACACCAACAUGAUCUAAAAUUAUGGGUAACAUUUGCUGCAACAUAUGAUAAUAAGGAUUAUUUAAAUUUUAAGCGAUACAUAAGCUUAGAUAAUCUUUCCGACACGCCAAAGAUAAAAGAAUAUUAUUCCUAUGUAAUAAUAAGUAGAAAAAAUAUAAGGUUACUUAGGUCUUAUAUAUUGGACAAUUAACUUAUUACAAUUUUAUAGUAUUGUAUAUAUUUAAAAUAAUUCUUGUUAUCUGUUACAGACUUUCAGUUUUAGAAGUUUUCAUCUUUCUAGCAAUUUGUACGCCUCAUUAGAGCCCAUGUGUAUUUAAAGUAUCACAAAUAAAAUAUAAAUAUAGUGUUUGUACGAUAUUUACGAGUAUUUUAACGAUAUUUUUCAUUCCAAUUAAAUAGUACAAAAAAUCUAGUUAUUAAAAGUAUGAAAAGAAUGUAUGCAAUAAGUUUACACCAGAACUCCGGAAAUUUUAUUAGUUUUAUCAUAUACAGUUGCUCAGAAAAUAAAUUAAUGCUUUUGCUAAAUAUUUAAAUGUAAGACUGUUAAUUUACUUUCUGAGGCGACUGUAACUUAAGUUAUGUUCAAUAAUUUAAUAAUUUCUUUGGCUAUUUUCGUAAUUAACAAGUUUAUGCUUUAUUAAAAUGUAACACAAAAAUCUAAAGAAUAAUCUUUACAGAAAGUUGACUGAAGAUUAAACUGCAAUUAUAAAUGUAUUUUAUUUAAAAUUCUGCAGUACAAACAUAUGAUGAACUGACUAAUGUACAAUUACAA